Etheostoma spectabile (orangethroat darter) is the source of this 380-nucleotide long non-coding RNA. RefSeq lists it as uncharacterized. The record is from RefSeq and is a predicted model, not a curated record. Lineage: Eukaryota; Metazoa; Chordata; Actinopteri; Perciformes; Percidae. The transcript has 3 exons.
CUGAUAUACCUAAUGCAAAAUACAAAAAAAGCCCGAAAGGUUGGUAUGAUAACAAUCAAUCAAUCUAUAUAACAUGUGACAAAGAGUAUGAAUCCAAAAACCGGGAUGCUACAGCCAUAUGUUCAAAUGGAACAUGGACCUCUGUGCCGGUCUGUGAGAAAAGUAUCGAGACAUGUGGGGAGCCCCCUAAAAUCCCCCAUGCAGUCAUCAUCCAUCAGGAAUACCAGGAGUUGUUUGCUGCAGAUUCAGAAGUGCAGUAUGAAUGUGAAGAUGGAUAUACUGUAGAGGGAGGAGGAACCAAAGACAACAUCACUUGCAUCUUUGGAAACUGGACUGAAGGCUCAGCGUGCAGCAGAGGAACCAGACCAGAGAUGGGACAU